Molecule: non-coding RNA, 172 nt
Filed under: uncultured Roseateles sp.
Lineage: Bacteria; Pseudomonadati; Pseudomonadota; Betaproteobacteria; Burkholderiales; Sphaerotilaceae
Source: RNAcentral
UCGGCGUGGUGCAGGCGCAAAGCCAGGCCGUGGCGCUGCAGACCGAAUUGCCCGGCCGUGUGGAGGCCCAGCGUACCGCCCAAGUGCGUGCGCGAGUGAACGGUGUGGUGCUCAAGCGCCUGUUCACCGAAGGCAGCGAGGUCAAGGCCGGUCAAGCCUUGUUCCAGAUCGA